UUUCUUUGAAUCAUUAUUCAUUUUUUAUUAAUUUUAUUUACUUAUUUGUUUUUUUUACAAGUUGGCCUUUGAAUAAGUUCAGCUAUGCAACAAAAAAGACAAGACUCAUUAUCCUUUGAAUUCUGACUUGCUUAUAUCGUGACAAGUGUUUUAUAGAGUGAACCCAGGAUAAAACCUAGCAGUAAAAUAACAACCAAAAGGUAUGUAUACAUAUUUGAAAAGUUUUUAAGGCCUUUGCUGUUUCAAUUUGCCAUUCUAGCUUUGUCUUUGACAACUCCCAUGAUGUAACUAACCAUUUUUCUACAGAGUUCCGCUUCUGUAAAUAUAUCAUGCAGUUUCACAUUUCUGCAACUUUGUACCUGCUCUUCUCUCUGCCGGAAAUGCUCUUGACACACUUCCUGGCACAUGGUACGCUCCAACAAAGUGAGUUACACCUCUUCACUUCCUUUCCUGCCUGAGAGAGAUGACAGGCAGAGAGGCAGGCAGAGAGAGAGGAGGAAGCGACUCCUUGCUGAGCAGAGAAUCCGAUGCGGGGCUCGAUCCCAGGACCCUGAGAUCAUGACCUGAGCCGAAGGCAGCGGCUUAACCCACUAAGCCACCCAGGUGCCCCUGCUCU
RNAcentral lists this long non-coding RNA (616 nucleotides) under Mustela putorius furo (domestic ferret). RNAcentral describes it as "lncRNA (ENSMPUG00000024024.1)". Lineage: Eukaryota; Metazoa; Chordata; Mammalia; Carnivora; Mustelidae. The record is from RNAcentral.